Molecule: ribosomal RNA, 460 nt
Filed under: uncultured bacterium
Lineage: Bacteria
Description: SSU rRNA
Rfam family: Bacterial small subunit ribosomal RNA
Source: RNAcentral
AGAAUCAACGCUGGCGGCGUGCCUAACACAUGCAAGUCGCACGAGAAAGGGACUUCGGUCCUGAGUAAAGUGGCGCACGGGUGAGUAACACGUGAAUCAUCUACCUCCGAAUGGGGGAAUAACUGAGAGAAAUCUUAGCUAAUACCGCAUAAUACCUACGGGUCAAAGCAGCAAUGCGUUUGGAGAGGAGUUCGCGGUCGAUUAGUUAGUUGGCGGGGUAAUGGCCCACCAAGACGAUGAUCGAUAUCCGGCCUGAGAGGGCGCACGGACACACUGGAACUGAAACACGGUCCAGACUCCUACGGGAGGCAGCAGUGGGGAAUUUUGCGCAAUGGGGGAAACCCUGACGCAGCAACGCCGCGUGGAGGAUGAAAUAUCUUGGUAUGUAAACUCCUUUCGAUGGGGAAGAUAAUGACGGUACCCAUAGAAGAAGCCCGGCUAACUUCGCGCCAGCAGCCGC